UACGGAGGGGGCUAGCGUUGUUCGGAAUUACUGGGCGUAAAGCGCACGUAGGCGGCUUUGUAAGUUAGAGGUGAAAGCCUGGAGCUCAACUCCAGAACUGCCUUUAAGACUGCAUCGCUUGAAUCCAGGAGAGGUGAGUGGAAUUCCGAGUGUAGAGGUGAAAUUCGUAGAUAUUCGGAAGAACACCAGUGGCGAAGGCGGCUCACUGGACUGGUAUUGACGCUGAGGUGGCGAAAGCGUGGGGAGCAAACAGG
This 254-nucleotide ribosomal RNA is filed under the name uncultured bacterium. RNAcentral's name for it is "partial 16S ribosomal RNA". It matches the Rfam family "Bacterial small subunit ribosomal RNA", at positions 524 to 776 of the family's 1533-position model. The record is from RNAcentral.